Molecule: long non-coding RNA, 249 nt
Filed under: Brassica rapa (field mustard)
Lineage: Eukaryota; Viridiplantae; Streptophyta; Magnoliopsida; Brassicales; Brassicaceae
Description: long non-coding RNA (BRAP_LNC005700)
Source: RNAcentral
CGGAAUCGAAAUCAUAAAGAAGAGAUUGAUGGAUCGAGAAGUAAUGGAGUAUUGAUUGUGGAGAUGAAAACAGAGAGAAGUGAAACGAUAGAGAAGAACUCGUGAAGACGAAGAGAUCGAGGAGAGUAGCGUUGUUCAUCGUGUUGUCCGUAUUGGGAUUUUUUUUUUUAAUUGAACCAGAUAGCUUAGCCCAUUGCUAGAUGAAGCCCAUCCGAACAGAUCAUAGCCCAUAUGAAAUCAACAUUUUAC